CCUACGGGUGGCAGCAGUGGGGAAUAUUGGGCAAUGGGCGCAAGCCUGACCCAGCAACGCCGCGUGAAGGAAGAAGGCUUUCGGGUUGUAAACUUCUUUUCUGAGGGACGAAGAAAGUGCCGUUACCUCCGGAUUAAGCCACGGCUAACUACGUGCCAGCAGCCGCGGUAAUACGUAGGUGGCAAGCGUUAUCCGGAUUUAUUGGGGGUAAAGGGCGUGUAGGCGGGCUAACAAGUCAGAUGUGAAACCUCAGGGCUCAACCCUGAGCCUGCAUUUGAAACUGUUGGUCUUGAGUGCUGGAGAGGCAAGCGGAAUUCCGAGUGUAGCGGUGAAAUGCGUAGAUAUAAGGAGGAACACCAGUGGCGAAGGCGGAUUGCUGGACAGUAACUGACGGUGAGGCGCGAAAGCGUGGGGAGCAAACAGGAUUAGAUACCCCGGUAGUC
RNAcentral lists this ribosomal RNA (443 nucleotides) under uncultured bacterium. RNAcentral describes it as "partial 16S ribosomal RNA". It matches the Rfam family "Bacterial small subunit ribosomal RNA", at positions 338 to 795 of the family's 1533-position model. The record is from RNAcentral.